GUCUAGGAGUAGGACUGCCUGGUCAUCUGAUUCUGCUAUUGAAAGACAGUUGAAAGACAAUUGAGUGUAGUAAUCUCAACGAUCCUAUCUGUCUCCAAUAUGCCAUAAAAUAUCCAGUCACUGAAAGAAAAUACUAAAAGCUUUGUUUCUGUCCCAAGAUGUCUGUGUCAUAUCCUGAGAAAGAAUUUGGGUCUUUUUGAAGAGGAACUCGAACCUGAGAAUGGUCUACAGUCUGACACACAGAGAAUGA
Leptonychotes weddellii (Weddell seal) is the source of this 250-nucleotide non-coding RNA. The record is from RefSeq and is a predicted model, not a curated record. NCBI's taxonomy places the organism in Eukaryota, Metazoa, Chordata, Mammalia, Carnivora, Phocidae.